UGCCACUGGGAGCCCAAAUGCCCACACGCGGGCCACCCCUGGCUCGCCCACCGCCUCCAGGAGGUCUGUGAAACCUCCGUGCAGCCGCGAGGACUUUGGAUCUGGAUCGCCGGCGACUGCGGCUGAGAACGCCUCCUCGGGCUCCGGCUGCUCCCCCAGUGGCAGGAAAGAACGCGCCAAGCGUUUCCCGAGCUGUUCCCUGUCACUGAGAGGAUGGCAGCACCCCCGAACUCUUCUCCUCCUCCAUCAGCCACCUACCUCCCACAAGUCCCACCUAAGACAAGGAAGCUGCACGUGCUGUGAGCGGUAACAAAGGAAAGGAGAGAAACUGAAGCUGUGUGGAACCCGUUUUGGUGAAAGCUUUGUUGUCCAUCGAACUGCCCAACUGAAUUAUGU
This 396-nucleotide long non-coding RNA is filed under the name Ictidomys tridecemlineatus (thirteen-lined ground squirrel). RNAcentral's name for it is "lncRNA (ENSSTOG00000034872.1)". The record is from RNAcentral. Lineage: Eukaryota; Metazoa; Chordata; Mammalia; Rodentia; Sciuridae.